UGAAACUUAAGAUUGAAUAUUGUUUUAUAUGUUUGGCAUUUCUUCUUUUAUAAGCAGGCUACAUGUAUCUUUUCCCAUUUUUAUGGGGCUCUUUACUUCCUUUUAUUGAUUUGUAGGAGCUCUGUGUAUAGUAAAGGUAUUAAUUCGGUCCAUCAUAUCAUUUGCAAAUAAUUUUUCUCCAGUUCUUUAUUUCUGCGUAAAUGUCAUUUGUGAUCUUUUGCCAUAGGAAAUUUAAAAUUAUAUAUUGUAUCAAGAUAAUCUUUGGGUAAGAAAAUUCCUCGUUCCAAGAUUAUGAAAGUAUUCAUCUGUGUUUUCACCGAGUACAUUUCUGGCUUUGUUUGAUGCAUCUGUAUGUCGAUAAUAAGGAAUCAGGGAUGUCUUGGUGGUGGAUUAGGAGGUCUGUUUGGCCUUAAGUCUCAACCGCAGG
Molecule: long non-coding RNA, 427 nt
Filed under: Homo sapiens (human)
Lineage: Eukaryota; Metazoa; Chordata; Mammalia; Primates; Hominidae
Description: HSALNT0160877
Source: RNAcentral